UACGAAGGGGGCUAGCGUUGCUCGGAAUCACUGGGCGUAAAGGGCGCGUAGGCGGACGUUUUAAGUCAGGGGUGAAAUCCUGGAGCUCAACUCCAGAACUGCCUUUGAUACUGGAGAGCUUGAGUCCGGGAGAGGUGAGUGGAACUCCGAGUGUAGAGGUGAAAUUCGUAGAUAUUCGGAAGAACACCAGUGGCGAAGGCGGCUCACUGGCCCGGUACUGACGCUGAUGUGCGAAAGCGUGGGAGCAAACAGG
Molecule: ribosomal RNA, 253 nt
Filed under: uncultured bacterium
Lineage: Bacteria
Description: partial 16S ribosomal RNA
Rfam family: Bacterial small subunit ribosomal RNA
Source: RNAcentral